UCUCUCUGCAGGUUACACCACCCCCAACCUGGACCCCAUCCAAUAGGCUCGUGGUCCCUGAUGGUCCUGGACCACUGAUUUGAGGCCUUUCUGCUUCCUUUGAUUCAGUCUUUGGCAGAGACCCAGGAGCAGGAGUCCUUGAUGGCACCUGGCCCUUUCUAGUCACCGACAAGGGAAACCUGAGAAACCAUUCUCAGAAAUGGAACUAAAUUGACACAGCAUUUGUCUCCUCCAGAGGAUACAGCACCAAGGCGCCAUCUUGGAAGUAGACUGGAGCUCUUAGCAGACCAGAACCUGUGGGUGUGUUGAUCUUGUACUUCCUGACCUCCAGAACUAUGCCAGACUCAUCAACAAAGGCCCACUUGUUCCUUGGGAUUUGUGUCUUGAUGCAUUCUCAAAGAGAGGUUUCCAGGGCACCAGUCACCUGCAGCUCACCUGAAGAUGGCACAUGGCAUGUCGCUGUGCCCCCCUCCCCAUCCAUGUGCUCUACCUGGCAACUUGUUUCUCCCCACCUGAAAGUUGACCUGAGAUGAAACUUGCUAAGGCCUCCUAAGACGAUGUUGCUGGAUGUCCCCUGCUGACCCCACAGACUGGCUCCUCUGGUGUCCGCUGACUUGGCCUGGUGAGAAGGGCAGGGCCAGGCCCUUCCCUGUCUCGACCUGCAUUCCCACCCAACACAGCAAGCUAUUUUGAAAAAACUUCUCUAUCAGUUCUUGUGAGUUAUUUGUCUAAUAAACAA
Molecule: long non-coding RNA, 739 nt
Filed under: Homo sapiens (human)
Lineage: Eukaryota; Metazoa; Chordata; Mammalia; Primates; Hominidae
Description: HSALNT0360447
Source: RNAcentral